RNAcentral lists this ribosomal RNA (253 nucleotides) under uncultured bacterium. Its description in RNAcentral is "partial 16S ribosomal RNA". It matches the Rfam family "Bacterial small subunit ribosomal RNA", at positions 524 to 776 of the family's 1533-position model. The record is from RNAcentral.
UACGUAGGGGGCAAGCGUUGUCCGGAAUCAUUGGGCGUAAAGCGCGCGUAGGCGGCCCGGUAAGUCGGUUGUAAAAGUCAAAGGCUCAACCUUUGAAAGCCGAUGGAUACUGCCGGGCUAGAAUCCGGAAGAGGCGAGUGGAAUUCCUGGUGUAGCGGUGGAAUGCGCAGAUAUCAGGAGGAACACCUGCGGUGUAGACGGCUUACUGGACCAUCACUGACGCUGAGGCACGAAAGCGUGGGUAGCAAACAGG